CGCAGAGGGCAGCUGGGGCGCCAUUUUGUGAGGCGUUCGGGGCGCGAAUGAGGCGAGCGUAGCUGUGAAAAGAGAGGGCGAAGCAGUAUACGGUUACAUAAAUUAGACAUUUAGAUAAGCAAAGCGGCGGCGUGCUGGAUCUGGGGCCUCCCGGGCAGCAAGGAGAAAACCCCCAACCCUUCCUUCACUGGAGCUCAGCUUGUUUUUAUUUUUAUUUUUUAAACCCCACACCCACCCCACUACACGCACACCCUCUCCCAUUGUCUCAGUACAAGUUGUUUUAAUAAAACGGUGCCUUUGUGGCCCAGUGUUGCCUUGCAGUCAAGCAAAAAAAAAAAAAAAAGAAAAGCUGGAUUGAAAAAUGUAAUUUUGGGAGAAAAAAUCACCUUUUUUUUUUCCUUGCAGCA
Non-coding RNA from Notechis scutatus (mainland tiger snake), 407 nucleotides. Lineage: Eukaryota; Metazoa; Chordata; Lepidosauria; Squamata; Elapidae. The record is from RefSeq and is a predicted model, not a curated record.